AGUGAAGUGGGAAUCCAUCUAUGGAGGCACUUCCCGGUUCCUCCCUCACUUCUCCUUCCCCUUUUACUACCACGCCAUUUGCUCCUUCAAAACGUCAACGUCGCCGUCGCCGUCGAAAUCUUCCUUUCUCCGUCGAAGCAGAGCAACAAGAAAUUCGGGUAUGCACGAAUCGGACUUGCCGCAAACAGGGCUCAUUUCAAACCCUAGAAACCCUUUCCGGUCUUGCUCCUCCUAACGUCGCCGUAAAACCGUGCGGGUGUUUGGGAAAGUGCGGUGCUGGUCCCAACCUUGCGGUCCUGCCGGACGGUCUUAUCGUUGGUCAUUGCGGAACGGCGGCUCGAGCGGCUGAGGUCAUGAUGGGUGUGGUUUCUAUGGAAGAAGGUUCGGAUUCAUAUGAUGCAAAAAAGAGUUUAGAUGCGCUUGCACUGAGGAAGAGAGCUGAAAUUGAGUUCGAGAAGCAGAAUUUCACUGAGGCUGAACUUCUGCUCUCACAGGCUAUCGAAUUAAAACCAUUCGGUGGUAUACACGUAAUAUAUAAAUGUAGGUCAGCUGUAAGGUUGGCAUUGAGUAACUAUUCUGGAGCUCUAGAUGACGCAAGGGAGGCUUUGGAAUUAGCGCCUGAGUAUGCUGAGGCUUAUCUCUGCCAAGGUGAUGCACUUUUGGAAUUGAAGCAAUUUGAUACAGCAGAAAAGUCAUAUUUGGCAUCUAUAGAUAUAGAUCCUUCAAUCCGAAGAUCUAAAUCAUUCAAGGCGCGGAUCGCAAAACUUGAGGAAAAAGUUGCUGCUGCUAAUAAGUUAUGAGACGUACCUUCUGAACAAAGGUGCAAUCUAAUCGCACUGAUUUCAGGGUGAUUUGAUUACUAUUUUCCAGGCUUUUGCUAUCUAAGUUCAAGUUCAGUGGUUUCAAAUUUAACAUGUAUAGCGCAUCUGGAGGAGGUAAACACUGCACAACUAGCGCGCGCACGCACACACAUGUAUAUGGGAUGAUUCGUCUUCAUAGGAGCAAAGAAAUUUCUUUGUAUAUAAACAUCAUCUUUAAAUAUGGCUAAACAAAAGCAAUGCCAUAAAAUUACCAAAGGAACGCUCUAAAAGAAAUCAUGUGUUGAACACUAAAGAGAACUAUGACUGUUUCUUAAAGGCUCAAGCAUCUUGCUUGAGCUGGACAAUUAAAAUAAAAGCAGUUUAGAAGAUUUCAUUUAA
RNA transcript from Neltuma alba, 1199 nucleotides. It is a transcript of the gene named tetratricopeptide repeat protein 1-like, with no coding region annotated. Lineage: Eukaryota; Viridiplantae; Streptophyta; Magnoliopsida; Fabales; Fabaceae. The record is from RefSeq and is a predicted model, not a curated record. The transcript is spliced from 6 exons.